This 451-nucleotide ribosomal RNA is filed under the name uncultured bacterium. Its description in RNAcentral is "partial 16S ribosomal RNA". It matches the Rfam family "Bacterial small subunit ribosomal RNA", at positions 29 to 523 of the family's 1533-position model. The record is from RNAcentral.
AACGAACGCUGGCGGCAGGCCUAACACAUGCAAGUCGAACGGAUGUAGCAAUACUUUAGUGGCGCACGGGUGCGUAACACGUGGGAACAUACCCUUGAGUAAGGAAUAAUGUCUGGAAACGGACACUAAUACCUUAUAAUGACUUCGGUCCAAAGAUUUAUCGCUCAAGGAUUGGCCCGCGUCUGAUUAGGUAGUUGGUGAGGUAACGGCUCACCAAGCCUACGAUCAGUAGCUGGUCUGAGAGGAUGAUCAGCCACACUGGAACUGAGACACGGUCCAGACUCCUACGGGAGGCAGCAGUGAGGAAUAUUGCGCAAUGGGGGAAACCCUGACGCAGCCAUGCCGCGUGAGUGAAGAAGGCCUUCGGGUUGUAAAGCUCUUUCAGUCGUGAAGAUAAUGACGGUAGCGACAGAAGAAGCCCCGGCUAAAUUCGUGCCAGCCGCCGCGGUAA